RNAcentral lists this unclassified non-coding RNA (355 nucleotides) under fungal sp. RNAcentral describes it as "partial internal transcribed spacer region". The stretch from base 1 to 46 matches the Rfam family "Eukaryotic small subunit ribosomal RNA", at positions 1786 to 1831 of the family's 1831-position model. The record is from RNAcentral. Lineage: Eukaryota; Fungi.
AAGUCGUAACAAGGUAACCGUAGGUGAACCUGCGGUUGGAUCAUUACCGAUUCUAUUUCUCUUUUCUAGGAAUAAAUUUGCGAAUGGCUCUUCUGAUAAGCCUUUACUCGCUUUUGAGUUUGGAGUAUCUUUUAAGCCAACGAUGACUGACAGAAAUCUUUUCUUCCAGUCUAUAGUAGCCAAUUAUUGAAAACCCUAGUUAAGCAGAAAAGAUCAACAUUUUGUGCACUAUUGAUGUUUUUUGGGUCUUUUUUCCCUGGAAGGAAGGCCCAGCAUUUUUAAACAAACCAUAUCAAUUUGUCUUACAUCUCUAUGAAAAUAGAAACAACUUUUGACAACGGAUCUCUUGGCUCUC